AUGGAGGACACUGGGGAGGCAGGGGGCAUCGAUGCACUCGAUGACCUGGGCUGGUGCACACUGGGGCUAAGGGGAAAGGGGGGAGAUGCUGAGGAGGGGGCUCCCGGGGGCUAUUCCAAGGCAGGAGGUUCCGGGGCCCUGGGGCUGAGGGGCAGGGAGGGGGCCAAGGUGAGGCAGGUGGCACCAGCCAGGUGCACACCCAAUGCCCGUGAGCCCAGACACUGGACCCUCGCUGAGAGACAAGAACGGAGGGGCCUCUGCGCCCUGGGCCCAGCUCUGUCCUACACCACAGUCACAUGGCGCCACGUCUCUUGCAGCCUCCACCAAGGGCCCAUCGGUCUUCCCCCUGGCGUCCUGCUCCAGGAGCACCUCCCAGAGCACAGCGGCCCUGGGCUGCCUGGUCAAGGACUACUUCCCCGAACCCGUGACCGUGUCGUGGAACUCAGGCGCCCUGACCAGCGGCGUGCACACCUUCCAGGCUGUCCUACAGUCCUCAGGGCUCUACUCCCUCAGCAGCGUGGUGACCGUGCCCUCCAGCAGCUUGGGCACCCAGACCUACGUCUGCAACGUCGUUCAUGAGCCCAGCAACACCAAGGUGGACAAGACAGUUGGGCUCCCAUGUCGUUCCACGUGCCCACCGUGCCCAGCUGAACUCCUGGGGGGACCAUCAGUCUUCCUCUUCCCCCCAAAACCCAAGGACACCCUCAUGAUUUCCCGGACCCCUGAGGUCACGUGCGUGGUGGUAGACGUGAGCCAGGAAGAACCCGAUGUCAAGUUCAACUGGUACGUGGACGGCGUGGAGGUGCACAAUGCCCAGACGAAGCCACGGGAGGAGCAGUUCAACAGCACGUACCGUGUGGUCAGCGUCCUCACCGUCACACACCAGGACUGGCUGAACGGCAAGGAGUACACGUGCAAGGUCUCCAACAAAGCCCUCCCGGCCCCAAAGCAGAAAACUGUCUCCAAAACCAAAGGGCAGCCCCGAGAGCCACAGGUGUACACCCUGCCCCCGCCCCGGGAGGAGCUGACCAAGAACCAGGUCAGCCUGACCUGCCUGGUCAAAGGCUUCUACCCCAGCGACAUCGUCGUGGAGUGGGCGAGCAACGGGCAGCCGGAGAACACCUACAAGACCACGCCGCCUGUGCUGGACUCCGACGGCUCCUACUUCCUCUACAGCAAGCUCACCGUGGACAAGAGCAGGUGGCAGCAGGGGAACACCUUCUCAUGCUCCGUGAUGCAUGAGGCUCUGCACAACCACUACACCCAGAAGAGCCUCUCCGUGUCUCCGGAGCUGCAACUGGAGGAGAGCUGUGUGGAGGCGCAGGACGGGGAGCUGGACGGGCUGUGGACGACCAUCACCAUCUUCAUCACACUCUUCCUGCUAAGCGUGUGCUACAGUGCCACCGUCACCUUCUUCAAGGUGAAGUGGAUCUUCUCCUCGGUGGUGGACCUGAAGCAGACCAUCAUCCCCGACUACAGGAACAUGAUCGGGCAGGGGCCCUAG
Macaca mulatta (Rhesus monkey) is the source of this 1504-nucleotide non-coding RNA. NCBI's taxonomy places the organism in Eukaryota, Metazoa, Chordata, Mammalia, Primates, Cercopithecidae. The record is from RefSeq and is a predicted model, not a curated record.